AAGCUGGCCGGGAUGAAGGACAUGGCAAAGAUGACGCAAAUGGCCACCACUGCGUCCACCGAGGUGGUCAGGCUUUAAAAACAACAGAACAAAAUUUUUCAUCCGAUGAGAUGAGCUGUGCAGGACUGACCUUCACACAGUUUUCAGUCUCCAUGUACCUGAGGAACGUCCCAAUGUCKCCAAGAGUCUGAUUGGAGUAUUUACCCUGAAAGGGGCUGAGGGUCAGACUGGGAUACUCUCCAAACGGUGGAACUAUCAGCG
Long non-coding RNA from Austrofundulus limnaeus, 261 nucleotides. RefSeq lists it as uncharacterized. The transcript has 3 exons. NCBI's taxonomy places the organism in Eukaryota, Metazoa, Chordata, Actinopteri, Cyprinodontiformes, Rivulidae. The record is from RefSeq and is a predicted model, not a curated record.